Molecule: long non-coding RNA, 1482 nt
Organism: Cyprinus carpio carpio
Lineage: Eukaryota; Metazoa; Chordata; Actinopteri; Cypriniformes; Cyprinidae
Source: Ensembl
ACCGAAUCCAGUUUAUCACUCAGACAAGGAGCCCCAGAAUGAGCGCAGAUUCACCCAAGCCCCAAAAGUGUUAUUUCCAGCGACCCAACUAGCCAGUCAGAACAGCCAACCAUCACCACCUUCACGAAUCUAUCAGACCCUCCAACGCCCCAAUUCCCCAAUGUUGUCUUACCCCAAUGUCCCAGCAUCAUUCCCUGGAGAUGAAUUGGUGUUCUCUCCAAUGAAUUUACUCCAGAGGCCAUCUCCUGAAGGUAUGCUUUUAAAAAGAAGCAAUUAAAUUCAGUCAAUUCAAACAUUCAAAUUCGAGCCAAAUGCAGUAUAUCCAGUCAAAUGGUUUAAUUUCUCUUUUCACAGUUGUUUCAGAUUCUUCAGAAACUGCCAGGUUGGCAUUAAAAGGUAAGUACAAUUAAAUCCUAGCGGCCCAGGCUUUUCUUUCCUCAAUGAUUUAAAUCAUUGAAGGAUUUACCACUUAUCAACUGUUAGCUUAAACCAAUGGAGGGAGACAUUGCUAAAAUAAACAACUGUUAAAAAGUUUGUUACCAUCAUUCAUUUUUCCAUUUGGAAUCAUUAUAACCAGCCUCAUGAAAUAAUGGUUUUACAGCAGUCCAAGAGUGGUCCCAUACUAAAAAAAUUUUGGUGAUCCCAAACAUUUGAACAUUAGUGUAUGACAAUGAUAAAAAAAAGAAACAUUACACUGACUGCUCGAAGUAAUUUUUUAGUUCAACAUCUUCUUAAAUUUGUUUGUACAAUUUUCUUUGUCAAUAGAUGUGGCUACUCAAAAACUUCUUACUGCAGUGACAGAGCUGUCCAAGGAGGUGAAGGACCUGUGGGAGGAAUUUAGGCAAUUCCACCAGUCCUGCAGGUGUGGACAAUUGGAGUCUGUGGUACAGCCACUGUCGGAGCCCUUGGAGCUGCCCUUCCACACCAUGGAGGCCCUGGACCAUGCAGAAGAGACACUGUUAAAUGGCACAAACCGACAGGCAAUGGACCUCUGCAAUUCGACUGGGCAUGCUCUCAAUCAACUUCUGGGCCAAAUCCUCACUGAUAGCAACCCAUUCUUUCAUAAUAACUUCUUGGAGUUUGUCAGAAUUAAUGGGUUUUUGUUUGUCCACCCGCCUCUUGAGGAUUGACCACAAGUUCUCAAUGGGAUUAAGAUCUGGGGAGUUUCCAGGCCAUGGACCCAAAAUUUCAACAUUCUGGUCCCCGAGCCACUUAGUUAUCACUUUUGCCUUAUGGCACGGUGCUCCAUCGUGCUGGAAAAUGCAUUGUUCUUCACCAAACUGUUGUUGGAUUGUUGGAAGAAGUUGCUGUUGGAGGGUGUUUUGGUACCAUUCUUUAUUCAUGGCUGUGUUUUUGGGCAGAAUUGUGAGUGAGCUUCGAUGUUCGAUGUUGAUUCAAUUACUUAAUGUUGACAACGGAAUAUUGAUUCAGCAUAGUUUCAAUGACUGUUUGCUAUCUGGGUAUGUACCAGGAGCACCUUAA